AGAGUUUGAUCAUGGCUCAGGACGAACGCUGGCGGCGUGCUUAACACAUGCAAGUCGAACGGAAAGGCCCUUCGGGGUACUCGAGUGGCGAACGGGUGAGUAACACGUGGGUGAUCUGCCCUGCACUUUGGGAUAAGCCUGGGAAACUGGGUCUAAUACCGAAUAGGACCACGCGCUUCAUGGUGUGUGGUGGAAAGCUUUUGCGGUGUGGGAUGGGCCCGCGGCCUAUCAGCUUGUUGGUGGGGUAAUGGCCUACCAAGGCGACGACGGGUAGCCGGCCUGAGAGGGUGACCGGCCACACUGGGACUGAGAUACGGCCCAGACUCCUACGGGAGGCAGCAGUGGGGAAUAUUGCACAAUGGGCGCAAGCCUGAUGCAGCGACGCCGCGUGAGGGAUGACGGCCUUCGGGUUGUAAACCUCUUUCAAUAGGGACGAAGCGCAAGUGACGGUACCUAUAGAAGAAGCACCGGCCAACUACGUGCCAGCAGCCGCGGUAAUACGUAGGGUGCGAGCGUUGUCCGGAAUUACUGGGCGUAAAGAGCUCGUAGGUGGUUUGUCGCGUUGUUCGUGAAAACUCACAGCUUAACUGUGGGCGUGCGGGCGAUACGGGCAGACUGGAGUACUGCAGGGGAGACUGGAAUUCCUGGUGUAGCGGUGGAAUGCGCAGAUAUCAGGAGGAACACCGGUGGCGAAGGCGGGUCUCUGGGCAGUAACUGACGCUGAGGAGCGAAAGCGUGGGGAGCGAACAGGAUUAGAUACCCUGGUAGUCCAA
Molecule: ribosomal RNA, 773 nt
Filed under: uncultured bacterium
Lineage: Bacteria
Description: bacterial SSU rRNA
Rfam family: Bacterial small subunit ribosomal RNA
Source: RNAcentral